CUUGAGCCGUGGCUUUCGGAGCUAACGCGUUAAGUAGACCGCCUGGGGAGUACGGUCGCAAGAUUAAAACUCAAAUGAAUUGACGGGGGCCCGCACAAGCGGUGGAGCAUGUGGUUUAAUUCGAUGCAACGCGAAGAACCUUACCUACUCUUGACAUCCAGAGAACUUUCCAGAGAUGGAUUGGUGCCUUCGGGAACUCUGAGACAGGUGCUGCAUGGCUGUCGUCAGCUCGUGUCGUGA
RNAcentral lists this ribosomal RNA (240 nucleotides) under Vibrio sp. a3s1. Its description in RNAcentral is "partial 16S ribosomal RNA". It matches the Rfam family "Bacterial small subunit ribosomal RNA", at positions 831 to 1070 of the family's 1533-position model. Lineage: Bacteria; Pseudomonadati; Pseudomonadota; Gammaproteobacteria; Vibrionales; Vibrionaceae. The record is from RNAcentral.